GUCUUCGGAUGCUGACGAGUGGCGAACGGGUGAGUAAUACAUCGGAACGUGCCCGAUCGUGGGGGAUAACGCAGCGAAAGCUGUGCUAAUACCGCAUACGAUCUACGGAUGAAAGCGGGGGAUCGCAAGACCUCGCGCGGACGGAGCGGCCGAUGGCAGAUUAGGUAGUUGGUGGGAUAAAAGCUUACCAAGCCGACGAUCUGUAGCUGGUCUGAGAGGACGACCAGCCACACUGGGACUGAGACACGGCCCAGACUCCUACCGGAGGCAGCAGUGGGGAAUUUUGGACAAUGGGCGAAAGCCUGAUCCAGCAAUGCCGCGUGCAGGAUGAAGGCCUUCGGGUUGUAAACUGCUUUUGUACGGAACGAAAAGACUCUGGUUAAUACCUGGGGUUCAUGACGGUACCGUAAGAAUAAGCACCGGCUAACUACGUGCCAGCAGCCGCGGUAAUACGUAGGGUGCAAGCGUUAAUCGGAAUUACUGGGCGUAAAGCGUGCGCAGGCGGUGAUGUAAGACAGAUGUGAAAUCCCCGGGCUCAACCUGGGAACUGCAUUAGUGACUGCAUCGCUGGAGUGCGGCAGAGGGGGAUGGAAUUCCGCGUGUAGCAGUGAAAUGCGUAGAUAUGCGGAGGAACACCGAUGGCGAAGGCAAUCCCCUGGGCCUGCACUGACGCUCAUGCACGAAAGCGUGGGGAGCAAACAGGAUUAGAUACCCUGGUAGUCCACGCCCUAAACGAUGUCAACUGGUUGUUGGGAAUUCACUUUCUCAGUAACGAAGCUAACGCGUGAAGUUGACCGCCUGGGGAGUACGGCCGCAAGGUUAAAACUCAAAGGAAUUGACGGGGACCCGCACAAGCGGUGGAUGAUGUGGUUUAAUUCGAUGCAACGCGAAAAACCUUACCCACCUUUGACAUGUACGGAAGAUCGCAGAGACGCGAUUGUGCUCGAAAGAGAGCCGUAACACAGGUGCUGCAUGGCUGUCGUCAGCUCGUGUCGUGAGAUGUUGGGUUAAGUCCCGCAACGAGCGCAACCCUUGCCAUUAGUUGCUACAUUUAAUUGAACACUCUAAUGGGACUGCCGGUGACAAACCGGAGGAAGGUGGGGAUGACGUCAAGUCCUCAUGGCCCUUAUAGGUGGGGCUACACACGUCAUACAAUGGCUGGUACAAAGGGUUGCCAACCCGCGAGGGGGAGCUAAUCCCAUAAAGCCAGUCGUAGUCCGGAUCGCAGUCUGCAACUCGACUGCGUGAAGUCGGAAUCGCUAGUAAUCGUGGAUCAGAAUGUCACGGUGAAUACGUUCCCGGGUCUUGUACACACCGCCCGUCACACCAUGGGAGCGGGUUCUGCCAGAAGUAGUUAGCCUAACCGCAAGGAAGGCGAUUACCACCGCAGGGUUCGUGACUGGGGUUAAGUCCUAACAAGGUAACCGUAUCGAAGUG
RNAcentral lists this ribosomal RNA (1437 nucleotides) under Simplicispira metamorpha. RNAcentral describes it as "bacterial SSU rRNA". It matches the Rfam family "Bacterial small subunit ribosomal RNA". Lineage: Bacteria; Pseudomonadati; Pseudomonadota; Betaproteobacteria; Burkholderiales; Comamonadaceae. The record is from RNAcentral.